UACCUACGGGAGGCAGCAGUGAGGAAUAUUGGUCAAUGGGCGGGAGCCUGAACCAGCCAUGCCGCGUGAAGGCGAGUGCCCUACGGGCGUUAAACUUCUUUUGUGCGGGAGCAAUAAGGGCCACGCGUGGCCCGAUGAGAGUACCGCACGAAUAAGCAUCGGCUAACUCCGUGCCAGCAGCCGCGGUAAUACGGGGGAUGCGAGCGUUAUCCGGAUUUAUUGGGUUUAAAGGGUGCGUAGGCGGGCUUUUAAGUCAGCGGUAAAAAUUCGGGGCUCAACCCCGUCCGGCCGUUGAAACUGGGGGC
Molecule: ribosomal RNA, 305 nt
Filed under: uncultured bacterium
Lineage: Bacteria
Description: bacterial SSU rRNA
Rfam family: Bacterial small subunit ribosomal RNA
Source: RNAcentral